This 253-nucleotide ribosomal RNA is filed under the name uncultured bacterium. RNAcentral's name for it is "partial 16S ribosomal RNA". It matches the Rfam family "Bacterial small subunit ribosomal RNA", at positions 524 to 776 of the family's 1533-position model. The record is from RNAcentral.
UACGGGGGGGGCAAGCGUUGUUCGGAAUUACUGGGCGUAAAGGGCUCGUAGGUGGCCAACUAAGUCAGACGUGAAAUCCCUCGGCUUAACCGGGGAACUGCGUCUGAUACUGGAUGGCUUGAGUUUGGGAGAGGGACGCGGAAUUCCAGGUGUAGCGGUGAAAUGCGCAGAUAUCGGGAAGAACACCCGUGGCGAAGGCGGCACUCUGGGACGGUACUGACGCUGAGACGCGAAAGCGUGGGGAGCGAACAGG